This 468-nucleotide ribosomal RNA is filed under the name uncultured bacterium. RNAcentral's name for it is "partial 16S ribosomal RNA". It matches the Rfam family "Bacterial small subunit ribosomal RNA", at positions 28 to 507 of the family's 1533-position model. The record is from RNAcentral.
GACGAACGCUGGCGGCGUGCUUAACACAUGCAAGUCGAACGGAAAGGCCCUGCUUUUGUGGGGUGCUCGAGUGGCGAACGGGUGAGUAACACGUGAGUAACCUGCCCUUGACUUUGGGAUAACUUCAGGAAACUGGGGCUAAUACCGGAUAGGAGCUCCUGCUGCAUGGUGGGGGUUGGAAAGUUUCGGCGGUUGGGGAUGGACUCGCGGCUUAUCAGCUUGUUGGUGGGGUAGUGGCUUACCAAGGCUUUGACGGGUAGCCGGCCUGAGAGGGUGACCGGCCACAUUGGGACUGAGAUACGGAGCAGAAUCGUACGGGAGGCAGCAGUGGGGAAUAUUGCACAAUGAGCGGAAGCCUGAUGCAGCAACGCCGCGUGCGGGAUGACGGGCUUCGGGUUGUAAACAGCUUUCGAAUGUGACGAAGCGUGAGUGACGGUAAUGGGUAAAGAAGCACCGGCUAACUACGUG